This 1170-nucleotide long non-coding RNA is filed under the name Oryctolagus cuniculus (rabbit). RNAcentral describes it as "lncRNA (ENSOCUG00000030499.1)". The record is from RNAcentral. Lineage: Eukaryota; Metazoa; Chordata; Mammalia; Lagomorpha; Leporidae.
ACCCCGCGCCAGAGCGCAGUUCAGAGCGCGGCCCGGAACUGCAGCUCCACGGGGCGGGCCCAGGCCGGGGGUCGCGCAUCUCCAGCCGGUGACUCAGGGCCGCUCGGUCCCGGGGUGAGUCUGGGUAGGCGGGACCGAGCAGGGCCGCGCGGGGGCAGCCGCCGGGCUCUCGGUGCCCUGGGCGCUGGGAGCCAAGGCUGGCUCUGGCCCGUCGCCAUUCCGCCGCGGGCGUCGGUCUCGGCUGGGGCCCCGGGCACCAGAGGCAGGCCCGCGCGCUCCUCUCCCGGACUGAGCAGCCAGGCGCGAGCGCAAACAAACAGCUGGGGCUGCGAGCGCCCCCGCCCCGGCCCGGAGAGCAGCCGGCCCGGCCCCCAGCCGGGGCGCCCGUCCGCCCACCAUGAGGAAAAUCCGCGCCAAUGCUAUCGCCAUCCUGACCGUAGCCUGGAUCCUGGGCACUUUCUACUACUUAUGGCAGGACAACCGAGCCCACGCAGCAUCCUCCGGCGGCCGGGGCGCGCCGAGGGCCGGCGGGAGGCCGGAGCAGCUCCGCGAGGACCGCACCAUCCCGCUCAUUGUGAGUCCGCCCGGUGCGCCGCGCGGCCGGCCGGGGAGCCGCGGCGCGCGUCCUGCCCCCGCGCGGCAGCCGAGGGCGCGGGGCCCGGCCGGGGGCUGAGUGCCCGCCGCGCCGGGCCGGCUUUGUAUAUGUUGGAGCAUUCCAGCUCGUUGUUAUGGCAACCUCGGCCCGGCUGGCGGGACCGGGGUGCGCGGAUGAGGGGAGGGUGACAGCGGGUGGGGGCUGGGAGAAAGUGCUGCAAGUUUGGUGGGCCCGGCGUGCGCGCGCGACGGGGAACGUGGCGGCUCUCCCCGCAAGGCGCCGCCGGCCCGGGGGUUGGGGGGCUGCGGGCUCCUCCGCCGCGCGGGCUGGCGUCUCCUGGACCUUGAGCGCAGCAGGCAGGCGUUGGGAGCGGCGCGCAGCCGAGCGCGUAGGUGGAGGUGCGCGCCCCCUCUCCAGCCUCCUGGGGGCAAAGGACGUCGGUGGCGGCGUGGGGAGGAGAGGGUCGCUAGGCGUUGCUCCUGCCUUCGCGCCCCGUUCUCAGCCCGCGUCAACUUGAACCGGUUUCUCCGCACUGACACCCUGCGGUGUUCUCUGAGUCGGGGGGGAGGGGGAGG